Molecule: ribosomal RNA, 253 nt
Filed under: uncultured bacterium
Lineage: Bacteria
Description: partial 16S ribosomal RNA
Rfam family: Bacterial small subunit ribosomal RNA
Source: RNAcentral
UACGUAGGGUGCAGGCGUUAAUCGGAAUUACUGGGCGUAAAGCGUGCGCAGGCGGUUUGCUAAGACAGGUGUGAAAUCCCCGGGCUUAACCUGGGAACUGCGCUUGUUACUGGCAGGCUUGAGUGUGGCAGAGGGGGGUGGAAUUCCACGUGUAGCAGUGAAAUGCGUAGAGAUGUGGAGGAACACCGAUGGCGAAGGCAGCUCGCUGGGACGUUACUGACGCUGAGACGCGAAAGCGUGGGGAGCAAACAGG